Molecule: long non-coding RNA, 230 nt
Filed under: Homo sapiens (human)
Lineage: Eukaryota; Metazoa; Chordata; Mammalia; Primates; Hominidae
Description: HSALNT0393218
Source: RNAcentral
GAGGCGCUCCUCACCUCCCAGAUGAUGGGCAGCAGGAGAAAGGCUCACAGAUGGAGGAACGUACCUUGAAGUUCAGAUGAGAUUUCGGACUUUUGAGUUGAUGCUGAAACAGCUUGAGAUUUUUGGGGACUACUGAGAGAUGAUAAUUGUAUUGUGCAAUAUGAGAAGGACAUGAGAUUUGGUGGGCAUAGGUGUGAAAUGACAUUGUUUGGAUGUGUUUACCCUCCAAA